Carassius carassius (crucian carp) is the source of this 945-nucleotide long non-coding RNA. RefSeq lists it as uncharacterized. The record is from RefSeq and is a predicted model, not a curated record. The transcript is spliced from 2 exons. Lineage: Eukaryota; Metazoa; Chordata; Actinopteri; Cypriniformes; Cyprinidae.
GAUUGAACCCCCACAUUUGAGUAAAAACACACAACCCUUUCACUAUUUAGGAGAUGUUCCUGCUUGGAUACCGGAACGUUCUUCUGGUUAAUGCGCGUUUGUAAAAUGACACGUGGGUUCUGAUUCUCAAAAUUAGCUUGAAUAUGUAAAUAAAACAAUUACGCACUACUAUAAAAAUAUAGUUUUAAUAGAUCAUUGUUUCUCCAUGUCAAAAGUACGAAGAAGCCUUAUAUUGUUACGUAUUUUAUUAAAAAAGAAAAAAAAUAGUUUUGAUUAAAACGGUACAAAGACGUUUUUGUUGAGGAACAAUUUGUUUUCCAUGUUUUAAACAAAACGCAAGGCACUUAUUUGCUGUUGUAAUAACAAACUAUAUCCAUACAGACAUGAUCAAUAACUAAAUAACAUCUGAUACAACAGACUAUAAAGAGAAGUCAACAGAGCACAUGUUGGUUUGGUGUUGAUUUAUGCAACAGGGAAACAAAGUUAUUCAAAAAAAGAAAAAAACAAGGAGGAUAAUUAUCCAUAGUGUAAAAGUUUUUGUUCCCAUCCCUGAUAUUAGAUCCUUUUCUCUCUCACAGCAGUUUUAUGCAAAAUGCUGUCAAACAACAGUUUCUCUAUAAACAUAAUAUGACCUACAUGACAUCCAUGAAAUUCUGACUCUGAACUCACUACACAUAAAAAACAGCUUUCAUAUAACAGACCCCAACGGCAAAAAUUAUACUUACUAAUUUUGCAUUUACAUUGUAUUACAUACAAAACAGCAAAAUGCAAAAGAAAGGUGCUUGACUGAUAUCAGCUUGCUGUGCCCCAAAAACAGUGAAAUGUGUUGUCAUUAACAAACAUAAACAGGGUUCAGUCACUGUUCUUCUGUUUGAUGAAAUAUCUUUUCAUAACCUGUAAUGAUAAUAGUUUGACAGCCGACACAUUAUAAAUGAUGUCUAAUCA